GAAGACUUGUCAGAAGCAGAGGUUGAAGAUACUCUAGCAAAGAGACAACCCAAAAAGAAACAUUAUUCAGACUUCGUUACAGAUGCAGAUGAACUUAUAAAUGAUCAACGCCAGGACAACCAUAUUGACAGUGAUCAUGAUGAAUCUGAAGAGGAAAUGAACAAUCAUCUUCCUAAGCCCCCAGAAAAGGUUUCUAGUGCCAGGAAGGAUAGCAAUAAAUCCACAUUUG
This is a long non-coding RNA of Haliotis rubra (blacklip abalone), 229 nucleotides long. RefSeq lists it as uncharacterized. Lineage: Eukaryota; Metazoa; Mollusca; Gastropoda; Lepetellida; Haliotidae. The record is from RefSeq and is a predicted model, not a curated record. The transcript is spliced from 3 exons.